Passer domesticus (house sparrow) is the source of this 12887-nucleotide RNA transcript. It is a transcript of the gene named myelin protein zero like 1, with no coding region annotated. The transcript has 6 exons. The record is from RefSeq and is a predicted model, not a curated record. NCBI's taxonomy places the organism in Eukaryota, Metazoa, Chordata, Aves, Passeriformes, Passeridae.
AAUGCCUGCUGUCAGCUGGUACGAAAAAGUAUUAAACUCAUCCUUUGCACCAUAGAAUUGACUUCCACAAAGUGUUGUAGAGGAAACAUCUGUGAGUGGAAAACAUCCUGUCACAGAUAAUGCAAGGAAGGAGAAGUGAAUCUACUUGGCCUGCUCCAUACUUGUUUGAUUGCAGGUAUAAUGCAAUGCCUGUGCAAUCACCCGAUGCAGAAGUCAUUGAUGCCUCUUCUCUUCUGCCCUUCUAGGCAGUGUGAUGUGAACUUCCUCAUUCUCAAAGCAGCCCUGAUGUGUCUUGUUCUCCUCCUUUCUUCUCUUUGCUUUUCCCAUGCAGUCCAAGUAUCAGCAGUAGAGGUCAACACCCCGGAGGAGAUGUUUGUGGAGAACGGGACGGACGCGAAGCUCCCAUGCACAUUCACAUCCGUAGAAGUGAUCAGCAGUGCAGCAUCUGUCUCCUGGAGCUUUCAACCAGAGGGAGCAGCCACUCGUAUCUCAUUUUUCUAUUACUCUAAUGGGAAGUCAUACCCUGGCAAAGACAUACCAUUUAAAGAUAGGAUCACCUGGGCUGGAGAUCUUAACAAGAAAGAUGCUUCUAUCAUGAUAUCAAACAUGCAGUUCCGGGACAACGGCACGUACAUUUGUGAUGUCAAGAACCCACCUGACAUUGUUGUCAAACCAGGAGAAAUCCGAGUCAGAGUUGUGGAGAAAGACAGCCUGCCUGCGUUCCCCAUUGCCACCGUGGCAGGGAUAGCCAUCGGUACGGUUACAGGUCUCUCAUCGCUCAUCUCUAUUGUCGUGUGUCUUGUCAUCAGAAAGAACAACUCUAAAAAACGAUACUCUGGCUGCAGUACCUCUGAGAGCUUGAUGUCUCCGGUUAAGCAAGCUCCGCAGAAGGCGCCCUCCGACACAGAGGGCCUGGUAAACAGCGUGCCCGCCAGAUCACACCAGGGCCCAGUCAUUUACGCGCAGUUAGAUCACUCCGGGGGACAGCACAGCGACAAGAUCAACAAGUCAGAGUCUGUGGUCUACGCCGACAUUCGGAAGAACUGAGAUCCUCAGCUAUCCAAAGGACAACACACGUUCAGACUGGAAUUGCUUGAGCAAGAUUUGACCCAGAGAACUCACAUGUGGCCUUUGAUGCCUAGGCUAGGACCAAUGCAUGUGCAUACAGAGGGAGAGAUAUAUAUGUAUUGUGUGUAAAUAGUCUAUUUAAUCGUACAGAAGUGAGACCAAUGUUGCAUGUUGAAAUGCGGUAAGAAUUUUGCUUAUAAAUUGCCAAUAUUCUUUUUUUUUUUUUUUUGUAUCUUGUGUGACGAGAGAGAAAGUGAAAACUCGCAUCACAAUUUUAAAAUAUUUUUAUCUUGAUUAUUAAUGGAGAAACUGGAAGAUGCCUGAAGAUUCUAGAUUGACCUGGAGAUUUUUUUUCUUUGCUUAUAGGGCCUAAUUUCUUUUGUUGAGGCGACUAUAAAGAAGACAUUUUCUUUAUAUUCAGAAUUCUUUAUGUAUACAGGGUAUUUAUCUUUCCUUGGUCAGAUUAUCAGUACAGGUUGCCUUCUCGUGUAAACUGGACCCUCUCACUUGGUUUUGUAAGCCAAAUUGUGACUCCUAGCUAUCAGAAAUGUAUGUCUUAGCAGUGUGAGUGAAGGAAACCUUUAGGCCUACCUGACCUGUGUAACAUGGGUCACAAAACUGUUUACUUCUCAAUGAGCCCAGCUAUUCAAGCUGUCCUUUAAGGGGCAGGGAUAGUGUUGAUCUAAUGAAUUUUGUGAAAUGGUAGUUUACCUGUGAAAAGGAAGGAGAUAGUGAAUUAAAGGCAUAGGAAGCUGUAGCUGUAGGUGGUUACCUCAGACUCUGUUGAACCUUUCAGUGAAAUAUUUCGUCCUCAAAGCUCUGUCAUUUCAUGCAAGCAUUAAAAAGGGCUCCAAGGGAUCUGGAAGCUGUAGUACUCCCAUACCUCUCUCCCAUAGCUCCAUUAUGCCACUGUCACCUCCUUGGAGGUGCUUUAUCUGUUCUCAAAAGCCUGUAGUGGAGGCUGAACAACUUCUGGAGGAAAUCUAGGGCUCUUUGGGUUUUUUGAUGUGUGGUUUUUUUUUUUUGUGUGACCAAUAUUUGCACAGAAGAUGCAGAUGGGCAAUUUAUUUCCUUCAUACCUUCAAGCCUGCUGCUUGAAUGCAGUUGUCCAGCCUCUUGUUUCUAGGUUAAACUCCUCCUAGAUUAUUAAGGAUCUCUGCUGAUAAGGAUUUCUUUUGCUGACCCAUUGUAUCCUGAAAUCUGGUGCUCAAAACUAGAAGUGGCCUUCCAGCAGAGAUCUUCUCAAAGUGACACACAGAAGAAGGAUUUCUGUUUUGUACAUCCCAAUGUAGUGGUUUUGUUUUGGGUUGGGUUUUUUUUGGCAGCAAAUAAUUUUCAGAUUGGUCUAUGGCAACCACGUUUCUCUGAUUCUUACCCACUUCCUAGUUCAGUGUGUUUCAGAAUCAGUCCCAGAAUGGUUGAGGUUGGAGGGACCUCUGGAGAUCAUCCAGUCUUCCUCCAGCAGGGUCAGCCAGAGGAGGCUGCCCAGCCCUAUGCCCAGUUUCGAGCAUGUCCACAGGUGGGACCUCUAGAGCAUCUCUGGGCAACCUGUUCCAAAAAACCUCAAGCCCACAUUUGGCUCCUAACACCAAGCACAUGAAAAAUAGUUACAGGCCCAUGGCAGAUCCUUUUACAACCUCAUUAGAUAAUUCUUUAAUUAUGACAGAGCAAUUUUAAUAACUAUUUUGUGUACAGUGGGCAUUUUUUUCCCCAAGAAAAUUAGGUAUGGCAACACUAUAUUCUUUCAUCAGGAUCAGACGUCUCUGGUUUCCUGACAACAAAGCUGCCUUUAUUAGAAAACAACAGCUUUAUUUUUGUAUACAUGCACUGGGUAGAUCUUAGGACAUUGUCCUCAAAGCCAGAACCAGCUUCUUCAAAUUGGGGCUCAGAAGGAAACCAUGGAUUAAUUUAUUCUGCCAUAUGUCAGUUGCUAAUCCUGCAAUAUCUGAAUUUGUGUAAUUCUUCUUCCAAGACUUGGCUGGUAUCAAAAAAAGGACGUGUUUCAGUUUUAAAGCAUCAGUUCUCAGGUAUUUGCCAAGUCUUGUAGGGAACUGAGACACGGAGCUGUGGCAAACUAACAACUCUGUAAAUAUUUUAACAUUUUAUUUUUUGGCAAUAACACAUACAAGAUGAAAAAUGGACAAAUUUCUUCUUCACAGGAGACCUUUAAAUAUCUUCUUCUACUUUAUGGAUUAAGCUGGGUUUUUUAGCAAGACUCCACAUGAAGGGCUAUGGUGCUUGUACCCAGUGCUGGCGGCUGAUGGAGUGGGACCUACUCACCCCAGAAACUUUCAAGGGUAGUUUGUCCACUCAAGCUUCCAUCUGUUGAUAAGAUCCACUGCCUUGGUUGCUGCAGUGCUGAUGCUGGUGACUGUAGUCAGGAAAUUCUUUACUCAGAAGAUGGUGAGGCCCUGGCACAGCUUGCCCAGAGAAGCUGUGGAUGCCCCAUCCCUGGAAGUGUUCAGGGUCCUGUUGGAUGGGGCUCUGAGCAGCCUGGUCUGAUGGAAGUGUCCCUGCCCAUGGCAGGGGGUUGGAACUAGGUGAUCUUUAAGGUCCUUCCCAACCCAGUCCAGUGUGUGAUUCUGUGGUUCUGUAGGGUCUUCUCAAGUGCUGAAUUCUGCACCUGGCAGCCAGGGGGGACAUCCCUGUCCUGGGGGGAACCAUGCCCAGCACUGCCAGCUGGGCAAGGGCAGGGAUUGUCCCACUCUGCUCUGGGCUGGGGUGGCCUCACCUCCAGUCCUGGGGCAGUUCUGGGUGCCACAAUAUAAAAAGACAUGGAGCCAUUGGAGAGUGUCCAAAGGAGGCCACGAGGAUGGUGAAGGGACUGGAGGGGAGGCCUGCUGACAAAUGGCUGAGGUCACUUGGUCUGUUCAGCCUGGAGGAGACUGAGGGGAGACCUCACUGUGCUCUUCAACACCCUCGUGAAAGAAGAGAAGGGGCAGGCACUGCUCUCUUCACUCUGACAGGGCCCAAGGGAAUGGCACGAAGAUGAGUCAGGGAGGUUUAGGUGGGAUAUCAGGAAAAUGUUUUUCACCCAGAGGGUGGUUGGGCACUGAACAGGGUCCCAGGGCAGUGGUCACAGCACCAGGCCUGACAGAGUUCAAGAAGUGUUUGGACACUGCUCUCAGGCACGUGGUGUGACUCCUGGGGUGUCCUGCCCAGGGCCAGGAGUUGGACUUGAUGACCCUGAUGGGUCCCUUCCAACCCAGUAUAAAUUAUUAUUAAGAUCAGGAGGAAUCCUGCUGCUGCUGCUUUCCUUAUCAGGCUUUACUUCCCAACAUUUAUUUUACACUUAAUAAAACAUUAAUGCUUUGGAUGUGGUUGAUGGAGAAACUUGAUUUUGAUCUGCCUGUGUUCAUCCCUGUGCAUCACCAUCUUGCUCCCCCAACAUUUUUGAGUAAGAAGGGGAAUUGUGAUGAAUGUGGCGGUCAGAAACUUGCUGCUAUGAGAAGAUGGGGCUGGCCUUGCCUCUGAAGUCUGCUACUAACGUUUGCUUCUUUUCCUGCUGGAAUGUACUGGAGAAUCUGAGCACAAUUCUGAUGUGGUGCUAACUUUAGGAAGCACACGAAUCCGGUGCUAACUUUAGGACUGAUCUGGUGCUAACUUUAGGGGACACACUGGUCUGGCUGAUUUUAACUGACUUAAGGAGAUGUCUCCUUGCAUGGCUUUUGUCUAGCUACAGGUAUGUUCAUAUUGCCUAGACUGAGAAGGCUCCCUGUAAGGCUUCUUGGGUCCUCUUUAUGAAGGCAGAAUGAACUUGGAAGUAUUUUUAAAAAACACUGAACAUCCUUUUAAAAAGAAACAAAAGUCUUCCCCCUGGAAUGGCAGAAAUCUGUCUGAAUCCCACUCCAGUGUCAAGGCUGGUUUUUGGGGUUUGGUUAUUAUUUUUUUUUUUUGUCAUGGAAAAGUGAGCAAUAUAAUUAUUAAGUAAUGUAUUCAUGCUGAAGUCAAAAGAACUUCAGCAUUGUGAGACAAUACUUGUGAACUUUCUGUUCCUCAGGUUAUCUGAGAUGGUUUAAGGAUAUGAUAACCUGUGCUGAUGAAAGGGACUGAUGCUGAGUUGGCUUACUUAGUAAAGUCUCAGGAGACAGAGGACUUCUCUUCCUUGAUGGGUAGAGCAAGCAGAGAUUUAAGUCAGACAAGGUCAUAAUAUCCUGAUGUUCUGGUGACCAGAAGUUUAACUCUGAUUGCUCUGCUGCUGCUGUUCUCUCAAUUCUCUGAUGCUGUUCCUUGCAGGAGGAAAAGAACAGCUUGGACUUUGAGGAACACAAAGGGUGUUGUCCUUGUCCUGUUGUGGCACUGCUGCCAGCUCUUUUAACGAUCAUCUAUUUUCAAAACAAGUGCUGCAUGCCAGGCUUGCAGCAGCCCAGAGGAGGAGCAGGCACCUCUCUUGAGGCAGUAGCCAGUGACUAAAACAAUUAGGGGGGUCAUUGCUCCUGGAUGGUGGACCUGGGAGGGCCUGUGUGAUGAAAGACUUGCAAUAAAUUCUCUUAUUCAUCAUGCAAACAAAACUGGGAUCAGUCUGAAAUCUUCCUUAUUUUUGACUAAUUGAUAAAUUAAUUUCAAGAGGACUACAAAUAAGGUAAUCAAGCUAAGUAAAUUGGUAGUGUACUCAGUCCAUCAGGUUUCCAUGGCCCCUUUUGACUUCAGCAGUUGUUCUGUGAGGAAGAUGCUCACCAUGUUCACAAAAUCUUAGCAUUAAGAGCCUUUACAGUGGGGCAGAUAUGUCCCUGCAACUCAUUGCCUGAUGUGUCAUUUAUAACUGGAGACCUGUAGGGUUUUGUUUUCUCUCAAAGCUUUAGUGGUAUUUCAGUUUGUGACUAGAAGAGCUGUAAUUAAGUUUUUAAACUUUUUAAAGCUGUGAGAAUUGUCUAGGUAACCAUCUGUCUUGUAACUGCAGUAAAGGUGUGCAUGCAGCUUAAAAGCUGCAUUGCCUUAGAGUGGAUUCACUGAGGUCAGGUAUGGAGUUUUUGAUUUGUGACCAGAACACCUUCACUCUGUACUGGAAUCUUGUCUUGGAAUUCUACAGUAUUAGUGUAUCUGCCAAGGACCUCAAAUACAAAAAGUUCUUAUUGCAUCAUAGCUGAUGAAAAUAUUUCCUCAAUAAAACUACCAAGAGAGAAGGUGGGUGGGACUUCUGGGCUAUGGCCACACCUCUGCAGCGUAACAUUUUUAUACAGGAGACUACAAAAUCAUAUUAACAAGGCUCAGCAAUUAUUCUCUUCUUUAGGUUUCUCUUUCCCUUCUCUUCACUGCCCUAAAGCUAAUAAGCCCUUUCAUUUACAGGUAUUUUUGCACUCUAAAAUAUAAGUUCAAUGCCUUUGGAGAUCAGUGUGCUGUGCAAUGUUUUCUGUCUCCCUGCCAUGCCAACUGUUCUUAUGUGGUAACUGUAAUUGAAAACAUAGACUGGGUACUUUUCUUUUAUAAACCUCUGUCCUGGAGGUGUGCAAGACAACAAACACCUGUAAGACAGGUGUAUAAUCUCUGUGAGGGAGCUAGAUAUGCAUUGCAUGGCCUGAUUACAUGAAGAGCCAGUGUACCAACUGUUAGUGCUUUUGCUUUUACAGACUCAUCUGGAAACAGUUAUAUUGGAUAUUUUUUCUUGAAUGGACUUCAAUGUUUUCUAUUGUAAUCUUGUGAAUAUUUUAAUACACUUUUUUUUUUCCCAUUACUGGUUUGCUGGAUGAGUCUUACCUGGUUGGGGACUGGGAAGGGAGGGGGACUGGAAUACACCACCUCUCUUCCUAGCAGUAUUCUUCUUCAGUCACUGUGACCACCUGGUGACCAACACAGCUGGAGAACUUGCCACUUGAGACCCUGAGACCAAGGACCAAGACAUGCAAGUGGAAUUGUGGCAGAACAGAGAACUGACUUUGUGCUGGGACAGCCUUUGAAAAGGAGGAGCUGACAGACUCAUCAGAACCUACCGUGCCCCAGUUAUCUUUUCCCCUGCAUGUGAAUUUCUAAGUCUGGUGCUUCAACACCCCCAUCUUCUGCCUGGAGUUGUGGAGGAAGCUAAAACACCAGUGGCACAUUUGUUUGCUGUCUUUUUUUUCAGGACAGUGGUAGCUGGGGAACAAAUCAAGACACACACAGCUGAAGCUGGAACAAAUAUCCUUAUGCUACCGGGGAAGGAAGAGCAUCAGGAAAUGAAAUGCAAAUGCUACUGUUGGUUACUGAAAUAUGGCAAACCCCCACCCAGGUGGUUUUCUGACACUGACAGGAAGAUCACUUCAGUCUGAGGCUCUGGCUGUCACCAGUACUGUGUCACUCCCAGCACUGCUCAGUGGAGUCAGAAAAGGUGAGGCUCAGCAAUUCUUUUUAGACAAAAUCCAUCCAGUCUCUUUAGACAAUACAAGACAAACAAUUCUGCCUUAAUUUUAAAAGGUUACCCUUUAUUUGUGUGGAGAUACCUGGUUAUUUGCACUUAGAAAACAUUUCAUCUCCUUUAUUUUCCUCUUUAUUUUCUCAGAGAAAAAAACAUUAAAAUUAGUGAAGCUAGGUCCCAUGGGGAUGGGUUUGUGCGUUGCUAGAUUUGACCUGUUGGGUUAAGCAUCUCUUUAUUGCACCUGCUUUUGUGCUUUUAGCUCCUGAUUAUACCUAUAGGAAUAAAAAAGAAAGAGCACAGGCUAAGAAUAGAAUAGGACACCAGUUACAAUAACAGUGUUUUCCUAGCAAUGUGUUCACCAGAGGAGGUUUAAAAUUACAAUGGACUUGAGAGUGGAAACUUGGGAUAGAAUAUCUUAAUUCUUGUAGGAAGUUUUAAAGUAGCUAAGUUUGCCACAUUCCUGGCCAGUACUGAAGCCAGAAAACUCCCAAAGUUUCCUUCAAGAAACAAUUUUUUGAAAAAUGCUGCUCUGCUUAAGAGCCUUUUGAUCCAGCUGGAACUGACAGGAUUCAAUGCUGCUCUGGCUUCACUCCGACUUAACUGUAAAACUAACAAUGUAGCAACAACAUUCUGUAACAUUUCAUGAAUGGUUCAGUUCCUCUUGCCUGUUGCACUGACAGAGAGGCUGGCAGCAUUCAUAAAUUCCUGGUUAAUGCUUAGCUGUACUUGUACCCUUAGUAAUGCAUACCUCCAUAUUCGGAAAAGCUGGGAACCACCAGCGCAGCCAACAAAGAAGUUCACAGCAAACAGACUCCAGUUUUUAGGGAUAAUCACCAGAGAAUACCUUGACCAAAUAAGGCCUGUUGAAAAAAAAAAUGGAAAGUUUAAAGAUAUUUCAAAUUAAAUAUUCAGAUAUUUCCCGAAGUUUGGAGACAGAUUCAUGGGCCAACUGAAGUAAACACAUCUCACAACUUCACGUUAGACAACUGCUUUGCUUAUAACUUCCUUUUUCUCAGUGAAAAGUACUAGUGGGACAUCUACAGGUAUGUAGUGCAUUUUUCUGAAAUAGCUACAGCAAGGUCAAUCAUAGUCUGAAUAUCAAAGAUUCUCUGUAGGAUCUUUGCAGCCUAGACCUUAAUUCUCCAGCAAUGUUGCAGUGUAGUGAUAUUUUGCUGUAUAUCCAGCUCGCUGCACGACAUUGGAGAUUAUGCAAAACUUGUGCAAAAUGCACGGGACUGCAUCAGAUAUCAAAAUAAAGUCUGGAGAACCCUUUUAGACAGGAAAAGCAUUGGAAAAAGUGGUGCUGCACCAUCCCUGGAAGUGUUUAUAAGAAGGGUAGUUGCGUCACUUAGAGACGCAUUUUAGUGGAGGACUUGGAAGUGCUGGGUUAAUGGUUGGGGUCUGUGAUCUUAAAAGUCUUUUCCAACUUAAAUGAUUCUAGGAUUACAGAAUAUUGUUUCUGCCAGUGUGAGAAUUCUUGGCAGACAGCAGUGCAGUAGUCCAUGUGCCACUGCUUCAAAUUUCUUACAACACUUGGAAAUUCUUUCCAGUUAUGUUAGUGUAAUUACCCUACCAUUCUUAAAUCCCUUAAUGUCUAUUCUAAAAAAGUCACUGUAUCCUGGACUGAUUUCAAAAAUACUUGAUCUGAAGGAAAAGAGGUCACUUACUGCAAUGAAUGGUAUCAUGGUAACUUGAGGGAUGACACUCAUGCCUAACUUGUAGCAACUUGUGCUGAACAAUUCCAAAUUAAGACAGGUGUAGAAAACUGUUACAUAAUUACAGAAUGCUUACUGAUUGAAUAACAAGUAGAGGUCUGUCCUAGAAUCAGCAUCCAACAGCAAUAGUGACAACUAGCGUGUUAAAAUUAAGGCUUUCUGUGGAGGUGGAUUAGUACUGAUGGAAGAUUCUGAGAUGGUGCUGUGUGAAAACAGAAAGUGUUUUAAGAAGGCUUUACCUGUGGCCAUGAGUACUGCAGACUGUGCUGUGCUGAGCUUUUCUGCUGGUCUGGCCAUGUCAGCCAGUCCAGCACACACCAAGCCCUGCAAAGAGAAAUUCAGUGAGCACCAGUCUGGGACUCCUGUAACAGAUGAAGAGCUUUGCAAGGGGAAGCUGCUUCACAGCUCAGUGCUUAUCCUACUGCAUUAUACAGGAGAUGGGAUGCAUUCUAUGAGCAAUUAGACUCUGGGAGAUACCAUCCACUUCCAGUCCUUUGUGGUAGGAAAAAAGAACACAGUUAUAGCAGCUACAACUGGAUGGCAAUAAAAUCCCAGGCACUGGCAGUUUUGUAUUAAUUCAAGAACAAGGUUAAUUUGAACACAGCUGCUUAAGAAAGCAGCUGGAAAAUAUUCCACCCUUGUUUUUAAACAACAAGUAGAGGCUUAUUUAAAUGAGGGCCUUCUUUCCACAGGUCAGGCUAAGAUACUGGUCUCUUCACCCCAUAAAGUCUUCAUUUAGCUUCGUCCGAGGGGAGUAUUUUUCUUAAAUAAAAUUCCAGUAAUAGUAGAAAACAUGCAGGCGAAUUGAGGAAUAGCUUGGCUGAUCUACUUGACAUUAGCAGCAAACACUCUGCUUGGUUUGUUGUGUUAUUGCCCUCUACUGGAAAUACAGUUUCACAUUCCUGUUACACCAGUUCACAAAAAACUCCAGACAAACCCCUAAGUAAGAUAGUCCUAGUGCUUUUUAUCCAGGACUCCUUGGGCACAGAAGAGCUGUCCGUGUGCUUAGGCUCAGGAGGGUGUUUCCAGGGAGAACUUCUGAGGAAAGGGAAGGUUAACCAUGGUUCCUGCAGCUCCAGACCAGACAACAGACAAAGAAACCGAGCUGUAGCUCAGAGCACAAUGUUGCCUGUGGCCUAUAAAACGCUGGGGUUCACAACGGCAAAGUUACAAAGCAGCUGGCAAGGGAAAGAGCAGGUUACAUCCUUGUUAUCAAUCAAGAUCACACCCUUGUGGGUUUGAAGAUCUCUCGUUUUAUCUGUAUCAGUGCAACACCCCAGAAGAGCACAGUGAAUGAGGAGGUGGCAUUUGCAUCACCUGGGCACAAACACAGCCCAGGGCUGCAGCCAGUGGGAGGCAGAACCUCACAGGAGGCAGAGCACCACUGACAGCCACAAUGGCAGCUGCCUUGGGCUUUUAGGUCAAGACUGCCCUGCACUCUGACAUGCUUCAGCCUGCCUUCAAGAUACAAGGCUUAGGAAUUGGCUUCCUUAUAAGAUACUUCUCAAAUUCCUCAAUCUCAGAAGAAAUGUAUUUUGUUAUGAGUUUUGCAUCAUGCCUACCUUGAGCAACAGGUGGUGUUUCACAAGAGAAAGCCUUUGUGAAACCCAGUGAAAAGCACAAUUCUUCCACAAAGCAUUUUCCCCACACUGUUAUCCCCUUCCUUUUGUGCUGUUACUAAGGCUAAUUUUCUUCCUCCUCAUAUAUUAAGAAUGAGAGCCUCUAGUCUUUCUGCAGGUUCAAGUAUCUGCUGGGAAACUCUUGCUUGCUCAGUGUGUUGCAGCAGAUUGCCCUGGCAUGACACCCAGACACCAGCUGGCAUCUUGUACUUACCCAUUUCAUAACAGGUGCCCAGAAAAACACUGUUUUGGGACCUGAGGGAGAAUGGGAGAAAAGAAAUUAUUUAGUAAAUGUGGCUGUUUUAAUACCCACAGUAAGUUUAAAUUGGUUUAUUUUGGUUGGUGUUUUUUUAAAUAAUGAAUUGUUUAUAGUAGCAUUUUAUACUGCUGUACAGGCUCUGGCACCUAAUACUUAUAAUUCAUCAACUCAGUGCAUCAGCCUUCAGUUGUGUAAUCACUGCACACAUUUCUGCAACAGCUGGAUAGGAUUUCUUAUGUCCAUGUUCAAGCAACUGAGAACACCAAAGUAGGCAAAAUGCAUUUAUAAUUGAAAGAGUUAGGAAAAGGCCUAGGAAUAGGGAAAACACCCCAAAAAUUAGGUACACCUAAUUGAGUACACCAGUAGGUAAAGGAGGAUUAUAGGGAAGAGGAUGAAAUCUCAAGAAGGAAGGGAGAAAAAUCCAAUGGCAUGGGACCUGGGGAAAAAACAACUCUCUUAUAAAUACAUAAAAUUUCCAGUGGUGCUAAAAUAGCAACUGGUUGGUUAAAAGCAAGCCCUGCAAAGCCACACCUACAACUAUGCCAGAAAUCAUUAAUCUGGGACUUGUGCUCCAAGUCUUAAAUAAGAGACCACAAUCCAAAGUACCAACUUCUCCUGUGAAACAGUCAGGACACUGUUCUAAUUUUAUCACAAAAAAUUAAUGUUUAGGUCACUGCUCAGCACUCUGAUAACAUGCAAGAGGAAGCCAAGUUUUCACUGUAAUAUAUUACACAGGAGUAACCACCAGGACUUUGGUUGCCUGCUUUUGGUGAGAGCUAUUUCUUCACUAAUAAUUUAGCCCUUAAAAGACCUUGCACCAACUACCUGUACUUCCAGUUUUAACCACCCUCAAUUUUAAAACUAUGACUUGGGAAACAAAAACUGGCUUGGCAGCCUUGCAUAAAGCCCUUUUUCACCCACCCUGCUUGUGAUCAAGUUUCAAACUGCAUUUAGUAACUACAAGCACAUUACCUUUUGUUUAAUAUUGUUGAAUAUUAGAUAACAGCAGCUUAGUGUUCAUCCUUUAAAGUUACAAACUUCAGCUGCUGUUCUCUUAGGCACUUUUUUGGUGUGUCAGAAUCAGGCUGCAAAUUCAGCUUGUAAUAAAUCAGUCUUACAGAGUAGCUUUAAUUACUAACAUUUAUCUAAUUCUAAAAUACAAAUUCAGAUUUGGAGUACUAGAGGAUGUGGGAUGAGUAUAAAUUAUUAAACUGACACUCCCUAAACAGCUAGUUGAGUUUUCAAGAAGACUGACAUUAAUUUUUAUUAAUAAUAGAAAACUCAACCAUUUCAAACUGCUGACUGCAGAACUAAGAAGCAGCUGGAGACAGGGAAGGUACCAAGCCAAGUUUGUAAUUAGGAAAAACUGUCCAACACCUCUCCUUGGAGACACUCCAGCAAGUACCCAGCCUGGUCAGAGUCUCAUGUAUUGCAUAACUUUCUCACUGACACACCUUCAAGGCUAAAAUAGAAAGUUGCGGGGUUCACUUUCUAUACUUGCUUGUGCUGUGACUUUUCUCACUUAUAUCAUCAGUAUGGAUUAUGACAGAUAGAUAUAUGUGUAUAUAUAAUAUAUAUAUAUACACACAGAAUCCCUAAAAAUGGAUUUAUUAAUUACAACAUUCUGGUGACGACCAAAAGCAGCCCACAGGGAGUUCUGUGAAGUGAAAAGCACUGCAAGAGAACCUCCAAAACCUUCUCCAAUUCCCACUACUUCAGCUCUGCUGAAGAUGGAACAUGGAUGUUCCCAGUACCUGCUGUGCCUUGCAUCCACUAAGAGCUUCUGGAAUCUGCCACAUUUCCCACCAGAGGAAUGUGUCUCUCAGUGUUGGACAUAUUGUCUCUUUAUAUAUAAAAACAAUACAUUAAUGUUAAAUAUAUUGGUCUAGAGAACUGCA